UCCCCUGGUGGUCCAGUGGUUAGGACUCCACACUGUCACUGCAGUGGGCCCAGGUUUGAUCCCUGGCUGGGGAA
This is a non-coding RNA of Orcinus orca (killer whale), 74 nucleotides long. NCBI's taxonomy places the organism in Eukaryota, Metazoa, Chordata, Mammalia, Artiodactyla, Delphinidae. The record is from the annotation of a RefSeq genome assembly.